Anguilla rostrata (American eel) is the source of this 2402-nucleotide long non-coding RNA. RefSeq lists it as uncharacterized. Lineage: Eukaryota; Metazoa; Chordata; Actinopteri; Anguilliformes; Anguillidae. The record is from RefSeq and is a predicted model, not a curated record. The transcript has 3 exons.
GUCUGGGAAAUCUUUUGGGGGAUUUUAUGUUCACUCGCCGUUCUGAGAAUCCUCUAAGCGAACGCGUGACGUGAAAGUCGGAAGACGGCGCACUUUCUCGUGAGAAUGCGAUACUGCCGAGUCUGUCACGCGCGGGGGCGUCAGGCAAGACUUCUGGCUGAAGAGGGCAACGGCGAGUAAAUAAAGCGCACAUCCCUUUGUGGGUUACCUCGGCAACAGAAAAACAGAAACAAGGAUUGGCAGAAAGUGCUCAGUCGGCCAGUCGAGCGCUCUUUAAUGUAGCUCUGACCUCAGUAGCCGCUGCUGACCCUCGUCCCAGGCCCUGACUUCCAGAUGAAGGGAAAGAAAAGGAGCGUCAUCUGGCCAGGAAAUCUGCCUUUCGGCGUCUGCUCCCACGGCUUCGGCCGUGACGGAUCGGCCCGUAACCAGCGCCGUGCCAGUCCACCGGGUCGCCCAGGCAGGCCUCGCCACCUCUCUGCCUGCAAGUGAGCGCCCAGCAUCACUGUCUGCCAGCAUGCCUGGACCCUGCCACCAGCCUCCUGCAUAAUGCACUGCCUGUAUUUAUAUGUAUGCAUAUAUAUAUGCAUUGUGUAUUUGACGAUGGUGUUAUAUUAUCAUCUAAAUUAACUAUUUAUAAUGAUUGUUUACCUUUAGUUUGUUCAUUUUAUGAAGCUAUAGAAGUUAUAGAAGCAAAAUAUCAAAAAAUAUCAAAAUUGGCAUAUGGAACCAAAAUCAUCGUUUUUGACGGUGUUGCCCCCCUUAAACUGCUUUAGAAUGCUGGAUUUUGUAGCGCAUUGAUUUUAGAACUGUUAAAAGGCUGAGGUGUCCCUUCAUUGCGAAAUAACUUGUUGCGAGGUAAAAAAUAAAAAAAUAAAAAACCUGGACUGGAGUUAAAAAAAAAACUGGACUGGAAGAAAAAAAAAACCUGGACUGGAAUUUCAAAAAAAACUGGACUGGAAGAAAAAACCUGGACUGGAAUAAAAAAAAAACUGGACUGGAAGAAAAAAAAACCUGGACUGGAAUUUAAAAAAAAACUGGACUGGAAGAAAAAAAAACCUGGACUGGAAUUUAAAAAAAAACUGGACUGGAAGAAAAAAAACCUGGACUGGAAUUUUAAAAAAACUGGACUGGAAGAAAAAAAAACCUGGACUGGAAUUUAAAAAAAAACUGGACUGGAAGAAAAAAAACCUGGACUGGUAUCGAAAAAAAACUGGACUGGAAGAAAAAAAAAACCUGGACUGGAACAAAAAAAAAACUGGACUGGAACAAAAAAAACCUGGACUGGAAGCAAAAAAAACUGGACUGCAAGAAAAAAAACUUGGACUGAAAGCAAAAAAAACUGGACUGCAAGACAAAAACCUUGGACUGGAAGAAAAAAACAUAGACUGGAUGAAAAAAUUACGGAGCCCCCUAAGGGUCAUGGUGGGGAUUUUUUUUUUUUUUUUUUUUGAGCUACUUUUGCGUUCCCUCGCAAUGCUUUUGCAUUACCUUGCAACGUUUGACACUCACAGCAGUUACACGCAGGCUACCUUUCCGUGCAACUCUGAUAAUUCAUCUUGCCCUGGCUCUACAUUUUGGACGGUGCAGUGGCAUGCGCCCUUUUGUGUAUGCCAUAUAUUAUGCAUGUACUUGCUUAUUUAUAUUUGUGGGCGUGAUCCCGUUCUAAACGCUUGGUCUAGUGUAGUAAAAACUUGACCCUUUUUCAGAGAGAAAAAAGUAUGAACGUUCUAACCUGUUGGCCUUAGGCCCCAAGUAAGAGCUUGCGAGAGCCUGUAAGAGAAGCCUGGGAAAAGGCGAUUUAGGACUCGCUGGGUGAAAAUCUCAGGUCAUGACGAUUUAGCCUAGGAGCAUGUGAUGGUGCGUGCCCAAAGAGCAGUGGCUGAAACCAGGCCUCUGAAGUUCUGGUGUCACGACUGAAUGGUGACGAUCGGAAGAAAAAGUGUGGAUCAGAGCCUGAACCCCCUGCGUGGAGAAUCUCAAUGGGCAUUCAGGAGGAAUUAGGGCCCCCGAAACAACUUUCAUCUUUGCGUUGUUGCUAGUUCCAUCUGUCAGCAUAACGCUCUUACUGUUUGAGGAAAAAAGGAACUUGUUAAAGUUAAAGGGAGAGGGGAAAAAAGCUAAUAUCACUAUUUGAGGAUCAGUGCUUUUUUGAAGUCAUUUUUUGAAAUGUGUAAAGUAUCCAGAGUAACCCUUUAAACUGGGAUAUGAAUUAUAUGAUCAAAUAGCAUGUUUGAUAUUGUUUGAGAAUUGUUUAAUUAUUAAAAAUGUAAAAAAAAGUUUGAGAAAUGGCUUCUGAUAGUCAUCUGGCUUUGUUCUUUUUGGAAACCAUGCUGUCAGUGUGUACGUGCAUUAGCUUUUCCUUAAAAUCUCCAAAAUUGAGUCAUUAAAAUAAUCAAAACUUA